Transfer RNA from Daedalea quercina L-15889, 82 nucleotides. It matches the Rfam family "tRNA". From Rfam's summary of the family: Transfer RNA (tRNA) molecules are approximately 80 nucleotides in length. Their secondary structure includes four short double-helical elements and three loops (D, anti-codon, and T loops). Lineage: Eukaryota; Fungi; Basidiomycota; Agaricomycetes; Polyporales; Fomitopsidaceae. The record is from Rfam.
GGACCCCUAGCUCAGCUGGUAGAGCAUCUGAUUCCAGCUUCCUGCCUCCAGAAGGUCGUCCGUUCAAAUCGGGCGGGGUUCA